CUUUGCUUUUUGAUGAAUGAUCAUACCCCUUGAACUUGGCCAGUCAUCAUGUGUAUUAUAGAAUGAUGAAAAGAUGCCACCACCUUACCAUUUACACACAGCAAAUAACACAAGUCCACGUGACUUCGUAUGGCCUAUAAAUAGAGUGCAGGGGAAAGGGUAUUUGCAUGACAUGAAUCCAAUCGACAAUUUUGUCUAAAAAUGAAGGCGAUCAUUCUCAUUUGCGUUCUAUUAGCCUCCCUUCUUUUCUCCUUUCCUUCAGUUAUUGUGGCUCGCGAAUUACUAGCUGAUCAGGAUGCAUCUACUGGAGGAACCGCGAACCCCAGCGCGCAACCCAAAAGUAUCAUGUGGAAAGCCUAGCGAUCCUCGAUAUAGUUCUUGCGUGGGAAAGCCAAAGCCCACCAAAUGUGGUAAAAAAACCGCAUAUGGCCGUUGCAAGCCACCGCAGGGAACUUGAAUCAGUACUACUUAUUAUGGCGUGGUGAAAGUACGCAUAAAGUUACUUGUAAUGCUGUGAGAAUAAAUAGGAUUUGGUUUGAUACCACUAAUAUUGUGAUGGAGCUUGGUCUUCAUCAUUUGUAGUGUGAAAAUAUAAAUAUGUAAACUAUGCAUCUUGAUAUAUAUGAUGUGCACCAAUAAAAAAUAGCUGACCAACUUAGUUUUGGUAAA
Molecule: long non-coding RNA, 669 nt
Organism: Carya illinoinensis
Lineage: Eukaryota; Viridiplantae; Streptophyta; Magnoliopsida; Fagales; Juglandaceae
Exons: 2
Source: RefSeq, a predicted model, not a curated record